UUCCCAACAGGUUCUUCCAUUCUGCUACUUCAACGAGCUUGGCAGGGACCCACAGUCUCGGUUUCGGAAAGCUGUACCGUUGCGGGGUUCGACGUCUGGGAGUGUCAGGUUCGACACCCAUCGUGGGCGAGAGGGAACUGGUUCGACCGGACUGCGAGCGGGAAGUCUCCUACGCCAACGGACCCUUCACCGUGAUGAACAAUCGGAUCUGGGACAGCCAGAGAGUCACAGUACGAGAACUCAGACAGCCAUCCCACUCUCGCUGCAGCAAACCCCAGGGAACCAUUGACCUGCUCCUAGUGGAACAGGAACACUGCAGCCAUCUGCAUCACACGAACCUGCUGUUGCUGCUCGCAGUCUGCCUGUCGCAAAACCUGCAACACAUCGCUCUGGUGUAUGAGA
This is a long non-coding RNA of Carcharodon carcharias (great white shark), 402 nucleotides long. RefSeq lists it as uncharacterized. Lineage: Eukaryota; Metazoa; Chordata; Chondrichthyes; Lamniformes; Lamnidae. The record is from RefSeq and is a predicted model, not a curated record. The transcript has 4 exons.